Podarcis lilfordi (Lilford's wall lizard) is the source of this 188-nucleotide non-coding RNA. The record is from the annotation of a GenBank genome assembly. NCBI's taxonomy places the organism in Eukaryota, Metazoa, Chordata, Lepidosauria, Squamata, Lacertidae.
UGCAGGCUGCCGCCCGCAAGCCUUGCGCUCCCGGGGAGAUCCCGGGUGCGCAAGGCUUGCGGACACCUGCGCGAAGCACGGGACGUCCUCUGAGGGCGCCCCGUGCUCCGCGCUGCAGGCUGCUGCCCGCAAGCCUUGAGUGCCCAGGGAACUCCCCGGGUGCGCAAGGCUUGCAGAUAGCUCCUGGA